GUCUUGAUGAAAACCGACCUUCUCUUUCAUCCCUUGGCUGCUUGAUAAGACUUAAAACAAUUCCCUGAUUUUAGGGAAGGCCACUGCGUGCACAGAUGGUGAGUUUGUGCAGGCAAGGAAUGUGCCCUCCACGUCACGUGGCCUCCUUGCCCAGCCUGGGUCAUGGGAAGGGAGUGUUGAAUUGAACCACGUCUUUCGUUGGUAGAUUAUGUUCAUCUUCAAUGUUUCUAUUAAGUCUAAAAAGUGGAUACAAAUGGUGCCUCCAAGUUCUUGUCUAAUUGCUUGUCUACUGCUUGACAAAAUCCAGAAUGGAAUGGGCCAAACAAGUUAACCAGCAGGACAGAAACUGCUCUAAGCCCAUUAUUCCUUGAGAUGAAUAGAACAGUGAGCUGAACGCCUGCUCUAAUGAAGCCACUAAAGGGGUUUACAGGAAGGUUAGGAGCCCAGCUGGGUUUUGAGUCCACUGCUGGGAAACAGAUUCUUCACUUCCUGUGGACCCUGGAGAAGCCAUCAGAUUACAUUAACAUGGCUCCACUGAUGAUGGCCUGAGAAUUACUACUGUUUGUGUUUCAUCUGUGUCCUUGCCAGGUCUUCCCCCACAUCCUUACUUCACAGGAUCAGGGGCUGAGAGGAGACCAAUACUCUGGCCCCGGCCUGGUCAAGGGAUGCUGGUUGUUGCUGAUGCAAAGUCACAUUGCCUGGUCCUGAGCUUGGCAAUCAGGCAUCCAGAGAUGGCCAAACCAAAUAUCCCUUUGGCCAGGCACUCAGGCAUUCCCUAUAAUGUUGUGCACUUAAAGCAUCUUGGGCUGAUAGUCUCCACCGAAUCACAGAAGAAAGAACUCAAUCUGCCGCAUCACUCACCAGCUGGAUAAGCCAUUUACUGUACACAGUGUUUGCCCUCUUAUCAAUACAUUGGCACAGAACCAUACACCGUAGAAGCUGCUGUGAUCACUAAAGGCAAUGCCCGUUUAGCCCUGAGCUCAGUGCUUGGCAUGUGGUAGGCAGGUUUGUGUCAGCUCUAACUGAUGGAGUAUGGUGGAGGUGAUGCCAUGCAACUUCCAAGGCAAAGGUAUAAACAAGAUGCAGCUUCUACAUGGCUCUUGCGAUCCUGGGAUGCUCAUCCUGGGAAUCCAGACACCAUGUUGUGAGGAGGCCCAGGCCACAAGGAGAGGCCACCUAUAAGCAUUCAGGCCAGCAGCCCCAGCAUGUCCUGCCUAGGAGUCUCCAGCAGCUGUGGUUUCCUUGGACUGGAGGCUUUUUCUCCUGAUGACAAUCGUGACAGGUCCAUCAGGCAGUGCCUUGAUGAUGUUCCAGGCUUCAAACCGUGUGAGGCCCUGCAUGGCAGUGCCAGCCAGCUGCAAGAUUUCAUCUCCAGGCUGG
RNAcentral lists this long non-coding RNA (1380 nucleotides) under Pan troglodytes (chimpanzee). RNAcentral describes it as "long non-coding RNA NONPTRT005753". The record is from RNAcentral. Lineage: Eukaryota; Metazoa; Chordata; Mammalia; Primates; Hominidae.